Molecule: transfer RNA, 72 nt
Filed under: bacterium
Lineage: Bacteria
Also listed under: 1 other name
Description: tRNA-Arg
Rfam family: tRNA
About the family: Transfer RNA (tRNA) molecules are approximately 80 nucleotides in length.
Source: RNAcentral
GUCCCCAUAGCUCAAUGGAUAGAGUGUAGGCCUCCGGAGCCUAAGAUCGAGGUUCGAGUCCUCGUGGGGACA